Bradysia coprophila is the source of this 5749-nucleotide RNA transcript. It is a transcript of the gene named no receptor potential A, with no coding region annotated. Lineage: Eukaryota; Metazoa; Arthropoda; Insecta; Diptera; Sciaridae. The record is from RefSeq and is a predicted model, not a curated record.
GAACAAAAAUGUUAUGCUGAAAAAAUCGCACAUUCGUUCAGUUUGACAUCGUCGUUUGCGGAUAACACACUCUUGAAGACCCGGAACGAUCAGUAGUCUUUUUUAUUCGCAAUCAUAACCAGAAAUGUAACAGCCCAACGAAAAAAGUGUUUGUGCAAAAUUAAAGAAAUAUUAUUUCGUUCGAUAGCUUACCGAUUCGUUUGUAUUUGUCCAUCAGGCGAAAACAUUUUCAGUAAAAAAAAACUUCUGAUUUUCGUUACGGCCUCUCAUUAUUCUCAUUCGGUGUCAAUUUUCUAUGCAAAAAGUGUGUUGUGAAAAGUGUGUUCUCAGCAGAAGAAGAAGAAAAACAGUAGAUUAAAACAACAUUUUUUGUUUACAAUUCAAUAGACCGACUCGCUAAUUAUUCACUGUUUUGUAUGACAUUUUAAUAAAUAACCCCAGCGCGUCGCUAAAUAAUUAAACUUUCGUUGCCUACAUCCUAAAUAAGAUUUUCACGCUAAACAAAAAGGAAGACAACAAAAUUGCCUACCGACUUUUCACUGUGCAUUUUGUUCAAUCGUUUUGUAAUUUCAAAAAAAAAUUCAUCAUGAAAAUGAAAGUGGUUCAUCGGUGUAGAGUGUAGUUAAUAUGAAAAAUAUAUGCUAAAAUUCACAUACUAUAUCCAUAACAUCGAACCAUCAUCGCAGCCUCACGUCGAACAUUACGAGCAUUGAAUUGUUUCAAAUUCCUCUUUUCGUCGCGGUUUUUCUUUAAAGAUUGAAUCCUAACCAAACAUGACAAAGAAAUUUGAAUUCAAUUGGCAAAUUCCGGUGCCGGAAGUCCUUCUAAAUGGUGGAGUGUUUGAUCGAUGGACGGAGGAAAAAGAUAAUACCGAUUUGGAAUUAGCCUGUACAUUUAAAGUCGACGAAUAUGGAUUUUUUAUUUAUUGGAAAAGCGAAGGAAAAGAAGGUGAUGUUGUAGAACUAUGUCAAGUUAGUGAUAUUCGUGCCGGUGGAUUGCCUAAGGACCAGAAAUUAACUGACAAACUGUUCAAUCGUCAUGGCGACACGCUAGAUGAAAAAUCACUUACCAUAUGUUCGGGAACCGAUUAUAUCAACAUAAAUUACCAACACAUUGUGUGCCCAGAUGCAGCGACGGCAAAGCUGUGGGUAGAUGGCCUUAGGAAAAUUACCCAUAAUGUGAAAGCAAAUAAUGUCUGCCCUAUGACAUGUCUGAAAAAGCAUUGGAUGAGGCUUGGUUUUCUAGUAGAUGCAAAGGGGAAAGUACCAGUAAAGGUUGUAGCACGAACAUUUGCAUCAGGUAAAACAGAAAAAAUGGUCUACCAAUGCUUGUCGGAGCUGCAACUUCCGAGCGGUAAAAAUGAGACGAUGGAAAAGGAGGCAUUCACAUUUGACAAAUUUUAUGCUUUGUAUCACAAAAUUUGUCCACGCAACGAUAUAGAGGAACUAUUCCGAUCAAUAACUCAAGGAAAAGCUGACCAAAUCAAUGUGGAUCAGUUCAUUAACUUUUUGAAUGAAAAACAGCGUGAUCCACGCCUGAACGAAAUUCUCUAUCCUCUAUACGACGAGAAACGAGCCGUUGAGAUUAUCGACACAUAUGAACAGGAUGAAGAGGCCAGAACUAAAAAAAAAUUGAGCAAGGAUGGAUUCGUCAGGUACUUAAUGUCUGAUGAAAAUGCUCCGGUGUUCUUGGAUCGAUUAGAUCAAUACAUGGAUAUGGAUCAGCCCCUAUCUCAUUAUUACAUCAACUCUUCACACAACACGUAUUUGUCUGGUCGUCAAUUCGGUGGCAAAAGUUCGGUGGAAAUGUACAGACAAACUUUGCUUGCCGGUUGCAGAUGCGUUGAACUGGAUUGUUGGGAUGGUAAAGGAGAAGACGAAGAACCAAUUAUAACCCAUGGAAUGGCGAUGUGUACGGAUAUUCUAUUUAAAGAUGUGAUAUAUGCAAUACGUGACUGUGCUUUUGUAACGUCCGACUGUCCAAUUAUACUUUCGUUUGAAAAUCAUUGUUGUCGUAUCCAACAACAUAAAUUAGCUAAAUACUGUGAUGAAAUUUUCGGUGAUCUAUUGCUAAAGGAAUCGUUGCCAGAAUAUCCGCUUGAGCCCGGUGUCCCGUUACCACCGCCGUCGAUGUUAAAGAAAAAGAUUUUAAUCAAAAAUAAGCGCCUUAAACCGGAUGUGGAGAAAAUCGAGUUGGAACUCUUUCAACAGGGACAAUUUGUGCUGGACGAUGCUGAUGAGCCGAAAGAGGAUGCCAGUGCAGCACCACCACCAGAUAAAGCUGCUAUAGCUGAAGCACCGGAAGCGGCUCCUGGGGCCGGAGCAGAAGGCGAAGGUGCCGAAGUACCAAUUAAUUAUACAGGGUCAACUACGAAUGUGCAUCCUUGGUUGUCGUCAAUGAUCAACUAUGCACAGCCUAUCAAAUUUCAGGGUUUUGAUGUUGCUGAAAAAAAAAACAUUCACCACAACAUGUCUUCAUUUGCCGAAACAACCGGAAUGAAUUACUUGAAGCAACAGUCGAUUGAUUUCGUCAAUUAUAACAAACGUCAAAUGUCUCGAAUUUAUCCGAAAGGAACACGGGCCGAUUCUUCGAACUACAUGCCGCAAGUGUUCUGGAAUGCUGGCUGCCAAAUGGUUUCGUUGAAUUUCCAAACCUCUGAUCUUCCCAUGCAAUUGAAUCAAGGAAAAUUCGAGUAUAACGGCAACUGUGGCUAUCUUCUCAAACCAGAUUUCAUGCGACGUUCCGACAAAGACUUCGAUCCAUUCGCCGAUGCACCAGUCGAUGGUGUCAUUGCUGCUCAAUGUGGCGUGCAAGUGAUUGCCGGACAAUUUUUGUCUGAUAAGAAAGUGGGCACGUACGUGGAAGUUGAUAUGUUGGGUCUGCCAUCGGAUACCGUACGAAAGGAAUUUCGUACACGAAUGGUACCAGCUAACGGUUUGAAUCCGGUGUACAAUGAGGAUGUAUUUCUGUUCAGAAAAGUUGUGUUGCCCGAUCUGGCCGUGCUGCGUUUCGGUGUGUACGACGAAAAUGGAAAACUGUUGGGACAGCGAAUUUUACCGUUGGACGGUCUACAGGCAGGAUAUCGACACAUCUCAUUGCGCACUGAAGCCAAUUUUCCGAUGUCAUUGCCAAUGUUGUUUUGUAACAUUGAGCUGAAAAUCUACGUACCAGAUGGAUUCGAAGAUUUUAUGGCUGCGCUGUCCGAUCCACGUGGUUUUAUGGGGGCUGCAAAGGAACGGCAAGACAAUAUGAAAGCUUUAGGCAUUGAGGAGACUGCUUCUGGUGCAGCCAGCGAUGCUAUUAAAGGUGACAAGAAAGAAGAGAAGAAAGUGGAAGAACCACCAUUGGUCUUCGAACCGAUAACGUUGGACUCGUUGCGACAGGAGAAAGGUUUCCAGAAAACCGCCAAGAAACAGCAAAAAGAACUGGACACAAUGAAGAAGAAACAUGCCAAAGAAAGAGCCGCCAUGCAAAAAGUUCAAAAUGCUGCCGUAGAGAAGCUAAUCAAAGGCAAGAGUAAGGAUGAAAUCAAAGCCGACCAAAAUAUUCGCAAAAUUAUCACCGACCAGACAGCCCAGUGGAGUGAGCUCAUCGAAAAGCAUAAGAAAGAGGAAUGGGAACUGCUGAAGGUCCAGUUGAACGAUCAGCAGGAAAUUAUCAAGAAAUUGAUGGAACAAACGCAGGCUAGCCAAAUGAAACAGAUGGAGGCUAAGCAUGAACGCGAAACGAAAGCUUUGAAUUCGCAACAGGCAAAAAUUUCGGUUGAAACUGCGAAAGAGGUGACGAAUGAUAAGGCGUUGAAGACGAAAGGUGAAAAAGACCGACGAUUACGAGAGAAGAAACAGAAUAACAUUAAGCGAUUCAUGGAAGAGAAAAAGAAUGCCGGUAUCAAACAAGGACGUGAAAAGGAGAAAUUGAAAGUUUCCCAUGACAAGCAAACCGAGGAACUGCUAAAAGACAUUCAAAAGGUACUUCGCGCUCCUCCCCAUCCUGCCAGUACACAAAUUACCAGUAUCGAAACUGUCCUGUAGUGAACGAAAAACGAUGAAGUAGAAAGCGUUGAUUCCUGUUUUGUUAUUACAAUUUUAUUUUGUUCGUUUGUUAUAUGAUUUCACCUUCCUGUAUAUCCAAGUUCAACAACGCACAUGACUGAUUUAUUUGUAGCCUUCGUAGAUGUGGUUAUUUGUUGAUUUGUUUUACUAUUAUCGAUUGAAAUCUUCACGAAAUGUACAAAGUGGAAGAAGAAGAAUACAAUAUGUCAGCAAAGUUGGAGUUCUAUGCCUGAAAUGGAUAUUUCUCUAACUAAUUGAAAAUGAAAACAUUAUAAUGAACGUAGGUUACGGAAAAGUAUAGUUAUAUUAUGUAUAGUGACAUCAUUUUCUAAUUUUAUGUAUAAUCUCAUUACAUCCAAAAAUUAUUCAUUUUAAAUAUUAAAAAAAAAAAACAAAAACUGAAAAUAUAAAAUUUGUGGAAAAAAAACUAAUUUAAUUUCCUAGUCGUAAGAGUGAACGUUUAAGUUUAAGAAAUGAAAAAAAAUGUAAAAUUAAUUUUUAAAUUAAAAAACAAAACUCUGUUGUCGUCCUAUUCAGUGAUAUUAUUUAGGUUUUUCGUUCGAAACAUUUUCUUCAUUUGAAAGCCAUUUAAUGCGCCAUGCAACACUCUGUACGAAACAUGUUUCCUAGUAUUCACCUUGCGCCGUCAUAGCGCUAAAAAUAAUUUAAAUUAUGAAGAGAUCAUACUUACGCACAUAUCAAUGCGAAAGAGACCUAAUUCCAAUUUUUCUUUUGUUAUACUGUCAAAUUGACAGGUGAACAAAAGAGAAAUUUGAAUUGGGUCUUUUUCGCGUUGCUAUUUGUAGGUAUCAGUCAUUAUUAUCGAUAUUAUCACUAUUUAAGAGCAUUAGGAAUGAACAUAUUUUCUGCGCUCAUUUAUUCAUCUGCUCAUUCACUCAAAAUUCAAAUUCUGAAGCGCACUUACUACGGCGUGGAUUGACCUAUAUCAUUGGUCGUAGUUGUUAAUAAUUAGUAAUAAUUAGUACACCACGAAUGUAAUAGCUUUAAAUAAAAAUUAGUUUUGGUUGUAUGUAGUCGCUUGACCAGCUGACCUCUGAGAAAACUGAACAGUUUAUGAAAAUAUCGUUAAACUGCUCUAAGAGCUAAGAGCUAAUACAUUCGUGGUCGUUAAAUAUUGCGGUCAGAAAAAAAUGCUUUAAAAGGGAUUCUGAUGAAAAGAUAUCAUCAAAAAUGAAAAACGAGAAUCGCAAAUGUAGGCUACAAUUGUAGCUGAGUAUCGAUGUCUCUUAAACGGAUUUAAAUACCAUUUCCAUGUCUCUGUACAGUGUACAUUGUUCGUUCCCCCGUAUAAACAAUCAUUAGCACAUUAUUAAUUGUAUGAUGAAAAACGGCUGAAAAACGGCUGAAAAACAGCUGAAACAAAAUGCAUCGCUUAUUUGAAAGUCGACGACUGUAAGUAUCGAUCGUGCAAAAAUGGUGACUUGUCAAUAGAUUUUUUUUCUUCAAAUCAUUUCGACACUAAUCUACAAAUUGAUCAAAAUGGUGAAUUGCUAGAUUCUCGACAGAAUAUAUGCAUAAUUCUACUAACCAAAUCGUGGUGAAAAUGCCGUAGAGUCUGUGGAUCAUGGAAACGUGUGUUAUUACAAGAGAAUGCAUGAAAAACUUGUUCCUACGCUGUCCCACUUUAUAUAUAUUUUAUGCUAAAACCAUUUUAAAAAAAAUAUAUUUAAAUUAAG